This 460-nucleotide ribosomal RNA is filed under the name uncultured bacterium. Its description in RNAcentral is "partial 16S ribosomal RNA". It matches the Rfam family "Bacterial small subunit ribosomal RNA", at positions 338 to 795 of the family's 1533-position model. The record is from RNAcentral.
CCUACGGGUGGCAGCAGUGAGGAAUAUUGGUCAAUGGACGCAAGUCUGAACCAGCCAAGUAGCGUGCAGGAUGACGGCCCUCCGGGUUGUAAACUUCUUUUAUAUGGGAAUAAAAUGUUCCACGUGUGGGAUUUUGUAUGUACCAUAUGAAUAAGGAUCGGCUAACUCCGUGCCAGCAGCCGCGGUAAUACGGAGGAUCCGAGCGUUAUCCGGAUUUAUUGGGUUUAAAGGGAGCGUAGGUGGAUUGUUAAGUCAGUUGUGAAAGUUUGCGGCUCAACCGUAAAAUUGCAGUUGAAACUGGUCGUCUUGAGUACAGUAGAGGUGGGCAGAAUUCGUGGUGUAGCGGUGAAAUGCUUAGAUAUCACGAAGAACUCCGAUUGCGAAGGCAGUUCACUGGACUGCAACUGACACUGAGGCUCGAAAGUGUGGGUAUCAAACAGGAUUAGAUACCCGGGUAGUC